CCUACGGGUGGCAGCAGUGAGGAAUAUUGGUCAAUGGGCGCGAGCCUGAACCAGCCAAGUAGCGUGAAGGAUGACUGCCCUACGGGUUGUAAACUUCUUUUAUAAAGGAAUAAAGUGAGGCACGUGUGUCUUUUUGUAUGUACUUUACGAAUAAGGAUUGGCUAACUCCGUGCCAGCAGCCGCGGUAAUACGGAGGAUCCGAGCGUUAUCCGGAUUUAUUGGGUUUAAAGGGAGCGUAGAUGGGUUGUUAAGUUAGUUGUGAAAGUUUGCGGCUCAACCGUACAAUUGCAAUUGAUACUGGCAGCCUUGAGUACAGUUGAGGUAGGCGGAAUUCGUGGUGUAGCGGUGAAAUGCUUAGAUAUCACGAAGAACUCCGAUUGCGAAGGCAGCUUACUAAUCUGCCACUGACAUUGAGGCUCGAAAGUGUGGGUAUCAAACAGGAUUAGAUACCCGAGUAGUC
Molecule: ribosomal RNA, 460 nt
Filed under: uncultured bacterium
Lineage: Bacteria
Description: partial 16S ribosomal RNA
Rfam family: Bacterial small subunit ribosomal RNA
Source: RNAcentral